UAUCUCCCACUCGGAUUAUACUCAUUUAACUCUAUCAAAGCAGUAACAACUGCCCUGUAUAUCUCAUCCCCCCACUCCUGCUUGAGAUUUUGCAGCUUCUCAUCUUCUUCAUCUACUAUUUCCUGAUGAUUCCCUUCAACAUGAUUGAUGAUUUUAAAAGGGAUGCCAGUCUGGAUUCUUCAAAUUCUCCUGCCACAAGCUGCAUAAAGUAGUGGCCUGAACCUGAGCUUCCUCUUUUGGAAAUCUUUGCUCGCAUGUAUUUAGGAAUGCCUUUUCAUCAAUUUCUCCCAUUCUUUUUAUUCCAAUAUUAGUCCUAACAACUGAGGACAAUGUAUCUUUCAAACCCUGAAUUAAUUCUUUACGUGCCUCUUGAAGCUCAUCAUUGCUCUGGCGCUCUUUUACAAUAAGAGUUUGAUUCAGAGAUUCAACAUCAGCCAAAUCCUCUACUUUCUGCUCCAGCUCAUCAUUCAUCUCCUUCAUCUUCUUUUGAACGGCUGUAUCAUCUUGAUCACCAAGAUGCUUCAUCACCUGAAGUUUCCCUUUUAGCUCUUCAAUUUCAAGUUCCAACUUUUGUUUGGCAUCUAACUGUUUUUCCAACAGAAGUAUCUUAUUUAGAGCCUCUUCUUUCUCCCUCUUUUGCUCUUCAACCAGCCUUAAGACAUUCUCAUCAGCCUUCUUCUGCUCCAUAGAUGCCAAAUGAAGUGAAUUGUUUCUCACAUCAUUCAUUUUCUUCUCUUCAUCAAGUUUUUGUCUCUCACGCUCAGUUAGUGCUUCACGUUUGUUCAAUUCUUUGCUCCAGCAAUCAAGUUUCCUCUUCUUAGCCUCUAGUUCAUCAUUCAGAUUUUCUGCCUCUUCCAUGAUUCUGUGAAGAUUAUCACGUUGAAGCCGCUGCAUCUUCCUUCUUUCUUCAAGGAAAGCAUAGUGCAGUUUGUCUUUCUCUUCAAGCAUCCGACUCAAGGACAUGGUCUUUUCAUUGUAUUUGUAUUCGAGUUCACCCAAAUUUUCAUUUGUCUGAUCAAUUUUAUUCGCUAGGUGUGCCACAACAGUAUUUCUGCUUUCAGUUGCUUCUUGGACAAUGCCAGAAAUUGUUCUCAACUUCCCUUCCCUACGAAGAUACUCUCCUAUUGGCCCCUCAGAAUCAUGAUCAUCAGCACGAGCACACCACCCAUAUAUACUUGACCCAGGAUGUGUCUUUUGUGCUUUCCAAUCCUUUUUACCAUGAUGCAAAGUUUCAAAUGAUUUUUCAAAUUGAGUUGCAUUAACAAAGCCAUUCCAAUCAUUGUUAAAUUUCACCACAGCCUGUCCAGUUUGCUCUUGUUCACUCCAGAAAGUAUAAACUUCCAAAGGUUUAUACUGAGCAAACUUUUUCAACCAGUAUCCAC
This 1382-nucleotide unclassified non-coding RNA is filed under the name Hevea brasiliensis (rubber tree). Lineage: Eukaryota; Viridiplantae; Streptophyta; Magnoliopsida; Malpighiales; Euphorbiaceae. The record is from RNAcentral.